This 610-nucleotide ribosomal RNA is filed under the name Eimeria maxima. Its description in RNAcentral is "SSU rRNA". It matches the Rfam family "Eukaryotic small subunit ribosomal RNA", at positions 174 to 783 of the family's 1831-position model. Lineage: Eukaryota; Apicomplexa; Conoidasida; Eucoccidiorida; Eimeriidae. The record is from RNAcentral.
GGCAUGGAACUUCAGUGUGACAGCUGAGUUUAUUAGAUACAAAACCAACCCACUUUCUUGGGGAGUCUUGGUGAUUCAUAGUAACCGAACGGAUCGCAGUUGUUUUUCGGGCCCGCGAUGGAUCAUUCAAGUUUCUGACCUAUCAUCUUUCGACGGGAAGGUAUUGGCCUACCGUGGCAGUGACGGGUAACGGGGAAUUAGGGUUCCAUUCCGGAGAGGGAGCCUGAAAAACGGCUACCACAUCUAAAGAAGGCAGCAGGCGCGCAAAUUACCCAAUGAAAACUUUUUCGAGGUAAUGACAAAAAAUAACAAUACAGGGUAUUUUAUGCUUUGUAAUUGGAAUGAUGGGAAUGUAAAACCCCUCCAAAAUAACCAUUGGAGGGCAAGGCUGGUGCCAGCCGCCGCGGUAAUUCCCCCUCCAAUAGUGUAUAAUAAAGUUGUUGCAAUUAAAAAGCUCGUAGUUGGAUUUCUGGCGUGGUCCGCCUGCGCUGCCCGGAUGGGUGGGCGCGUGGUUUGCCCUCCGCAUUCUUUCGGUAGCUUGUGGCGCUUAAUUUGGGCUGCGAGUUGUCCGGAACUUUUUCUUUGAAAAAAAUAGAAUGGUUUCAAACAA